This 880-nucleotide ribosomal RNA is filed under the name uncultured bacterium. RNAcentral's name for it is "bacterial SSU rRNA". It matches the Rfam family "Bacterial small subunit ribosomal RNA", at positions 40 to 916 of the family's 1533-position model. The record is from RNAcentral.
CGGCGCGCUAAUACAUGCAAGUCGAACGAGAAUGUGUAGCAAUACACAUGUAAAGUGGCGAACGGGUGAGGACUACAUGGGUAACCUACCCUCGAGUGGGGGAUAACCAGCCGAAAGGUUGGCUAAUACCGCGUACGCUCCCCGGACUGCGGUUCGGGAAGGAAAGCGAUACCGUGGGUAUCGCGCUCUUGGAUGGGCUCAUGCCCUAUCAGCUUGUUGGUGAGGUAACGGCUCACCAAGGCAUCGACGGGUAGCUGAUCUGAGAGGAUGAUCAGCCACACUGGCACUGCGACACGGGCCAGACUCCUACGGGAGGCAGCAGUAAGGAAUAUUGCGCAAUGGGCGACAGCCUGACGCAGCGACGCCGCGUGGGGGAUGAAGGUCUUCGGAUUGUAAACCCCUUUCGGGAGGGAAGAUGGGAUGGGGUAACCCAUUCGGACGGUACCUCCAGAAGCAGCCACGGCUAACUUCGUGCCAGCAGCCGCGGUAAUACGAAGGUGGCAAGCGUUGUUCGGAUUUACUGGGCGUACAGGGAGCGUAGGCGGUUGGAUAAGCCCUCCGUGAAAUCUCCAGGCUUAACCUGGAAAGUGCAGAGGGGACUGUUCAGCUAGAGGAUGGGAGAGGAGCGCGGAAUUCCCGGUGUAGCGGUGAAAUGCGUAGAGAUCGGGAGGAAGGCCGGUGGCGAAGGCGGCGCUCUGGAACAUUUCUGACGCUGAGGCUCGAAAGCGUGGGGAGCAAACAGGAUUAGAUACCCUGGUAGUCCACGCCUUAAACGAUGGAUACUAAGUGUCGGCGGGUUACCGCCGGUGCCACAGCUAACGCAGUAAGUAUCCCGCCUGGGAAGUACGGCCGCAAGGUUGAAACUUAAAGGAAUUGACGG